This 609-nucleotide long non-coding RNA is filed under the name Chrysolophus pictus (golden pheasant). RNAcentral describes it as "lncRNA (ENSCPIG00010007340.1)". The record is from RNAcentral. Lineage: Eukaryota; Metazoa; Chordata; Aves; Galliformes; Phasianidae.
AGGUGAGCCAACAUACAGGAACCCUAACUCAGACCAGGGCUAUAGGAGCGGUGGUUGGCCAGAGCAAACAGAGCAGUGGCAACUGGAAAAAAAGAAAAAAAACAGAUAAAGAAAGAGACAAAGUCUUAGGCAGGACAUCUGAUACAGUACAGUCAAAACAAACUCCUUUCUUCCUUUCAAGAAUAUUGCUAGCAGCGAGAGCACUGAACGUUUCAUAGGCUUAAUUAUUACACAGUGUAUGUUACUAGAAAGACCAAGAGAAUGAUUUUUGAUUUAACAGGCUUUUUUUUUUCUUCUUUUUUUUCCUUUGUGAGCUGUACAGUCAGAAACAGUGGUUUACAACAUGUGGUCUGCAGACUCUGAGAGAUCCAGUGGACUUCCAAGGGCUUCAGAAGAGCUGGCUAAUUACAAAGCCUGAAUCAGCAGCUUGCCCAACUAGGGCAACGACUCCAUCUGUACCUGUGACCCUUGGAAAGAUCUCCCGGUGUGCUCAGGGGCAUGUGUGGAGCUCUGUGGAAGUCAGUUUGCUGAGGAAGAAAGCCUUAAAAACACUCCUCCAUUUUUUUGAUGUGUUGUUUUGUAUUAAAUAAAAGUGCUCGUUCAUAGGAA